RNAcentral lists this ribosomal RNA (292 nucleotides) under uncultured bacterium. Its description in RNAcentral is "partial 16S ribosomal RNA". It matches the Rfam family "Bacterial small subunit ribosomal RNA", at positions 505 to 796 of the family's 1533-position model. The record is from RNAcentral.
GUGCCAGCCGCCGCGGUAAUACGAACCGUCCAAACGUUAUUCGGAUUCAUUGGGCUUAAAGGGUACGUAGGCGGCCCUGUUAGUCGGGUGUGAAAUCCCUCGGCUCAACCGAGGAACUGCGCCCGAUACUGCAGGGCUUGAGGGAGACAGAGGUAAGCGGAACUGAUGGUGGAGCGGUGAAAUGCGUUGAUAUCAUCAGGAACACCAGUGGCGAAAGCGGCUUACUGGGUCUCUUCUGACGCUGAGGUACGAAAGCUAGGGGAGCGAACGGGAUUAGAAACCCCGGUAGUCC